GACGAACGCUGGCGGCGUGCUUAACACAUGCAAGUCGAACGGAUUCAGUAGGAAGAGCAAUCAGAAUAUUGAAUUAGUGGCGGACGGGUGAGUAACGCGUGAGCAACCUGCCUUGUACUGGGGGAUAACGUCUGGAAACGGGCGCUAAUACCGCAUAAUACUAUGAAGCCGCAUGGCGAUAUAGUCAAAACUCCGGUGGUACAAGAUGGGCUCGCGUCCAAUUAGCUGGUUGGUGAGGUAACGGCCCACCAAGGCGACGAUUGGUAGCCGAACUGAGAGGUUGAUCGGCCACAUUGGGACUGAGACACGGCCCAGACUCCUACGGGAGGCAGCAGUGGGGAAUAUUGCGCAAUGGAGGAAACUCUGACGCAGCAACGCCGCGUGAAGGAUGAAGGUUUUCGGAUUGUAAACUUCUUUGAUCGGGGACGAAAAUGACGGUACCCGAGGAACAAGCCACGGCUAACUACGUG
Molecule: ribosomal RNA, 470 nt
Filed under: uncultured organism
Description: bacterial SSU rRNA
Rfam family: Bacterial small subunit ribosomal RNA
Source: RNAcentral